GCAUAUCUUUUAUGUGAUUAAUACCUAGUAAUUAUUGUAUGGUGUUUUUCUUCUAUGAUUAAGCUGUGUGAUUAAGAAUUGAUCAAUGAAAAUUAAAAUUAGGGUUGUAGUCUGAAAGCUAGAUCCACAUGAGGUGUGUAAUGCAUAGCUAAAAAAACGCCAGUCACUAUCUGAAUGACUAAACAAAUACCAGCUAACGAACCGAAGCCCCACCAAUAACUAAGAUUGCUCGGGGUUGGAUAAUCUAUCAAAUGUUGAUUAAGUGUGGAGGAUAUAGGUGCUUUAAGAAGNGCUUGUUUAUACAAAUUAUCCUCAAUCCUAUCAAACUCAUGAAAUGAACAAGUCUUCCUUCUAGCUUUAUCAUGUUCUCUCUUGAUGUCUUUGUAACUAAGUGGCUUAUCAAGAUUAAAAUUCCUAGGAGAAUAUCUUCCAAACAUUGUAUGAAUUUAAAAGUUUUCUUGAAGUAAGGAUGAAAAGAUUUCACUUACUAAAAAUCCUUAAAUCAAAAUUACCUCUAAAUUCAACAAAAGUCUAGAAACAAUUAAUCAUGAAGAGAAAAACUAAACUUUAAGAUUUUUCCAAAAGCUUUGAAAAUUGAAAGAAGUGAGGUCUCUUAGGUGAGGCUUGGACUUUGGAUCCAAGACACACUCACUGUCUACCAAUUUUAAUGAAGAAAUAAGAGCAAAAAUUUACAAGUGAUGGAAGAACACUUGUGAAUUCUUCCAAGUCACUUGCUUAAUGGCCAUUUACAAGUAUUUUUGCAAAACAAAUUACUUGAAACAACAAGGAAGUGAGAAGGAAAUGAUGUGUGCAACUUUGGCUUCUCUUAAAGAAAAUGAAUUGCUCCAAUUCACACAAAACUCCCAGCUGCAAGUGAUCACUCAAUCUGGACAAAUUCUGCUGAAACGGAUGCUGCUGCAGAAUGCAGUGUUGUUGUCACGCAACCUGCAACAAAUCUGAUGCAGAAGCUGUCACGAUUUUCCUCAGCCAAAGGCCACCUUCUUGCACUUGUCUCUCCUAAUUGAACCUUCUUUGAUGCUUCCACUUAUGGUAAUCCUUCUGAAUUAUAGUUCACCUAUCCAGCAAACCGAUUAAUCACAGAAACUAUCACCAUAAUUGCCAGCAAAAUCACAUACAAGUGACAGCAACACCAAGACUUUCGUCAAACAGAUGGUGUGCAGAGUGUUCAAAAAUCAGAAAGCAAGCAAUUAAAUGGAUAUCAAUCACGGUGGCACUUCAAAAUGAUCUUAGGAUUGGCUCUAGAGCAGACUAAUAACACAAGAAAAGACCAGCACUGUAAAAUGACUUCAAAUUAACUAUGCAAUGCAAUUGACCCAAACUGUUUGUGGAAAUGCCACUGAGAACGGCUGUUUCUGAUGCAGUAACUUUUAUUUAAAUCUGUUGAUCACUACACAAUUAGGAUGUAUUGGUUCUUGCAGCCUUCUACUAUGCUUUCAUUUCUUUUGCAUAUACAAAUUAUAUUUUUGGAACCAAGGCUCUUACUACAUCCUUAAUUCAUUCCAUCAAACAACUACAAUCUUUUAAAACCAAUUGAAAUAGAGCUGGGUGCAAUGCAAUGUUACGGUUUUUGACUCAAAAUUCAACAAGUCAUAUAGGCCAAUUUUGCAAAUCAGCAAUUGGUCAAGUCAGUCAGUUUCCAACAUAUUUGAAUGACUAAAUCAGACUUGUUUGACCCCAAUUGCAACUGAAAUUCAAGGUAUAUCAAAAUUGAACUAUAGCAGUUCUGAAAUAAGCAAUUUGAGCUCAGAUUUGGACUAAAAUUUGGAUGAAAUGGUAUAUGAAAUUUUGCAGAACUAACUAUAUGCACUUUAUAUUUGUUCAAACAUGUUUAUUAGAUGAAAUCAAACUUUUUUGAUCAGGUUUAUGGACUAAAAUCAGUGCAUAAUAGAUUUUGGCUAGUUCAGUUCUGAUGCAACUCAAAACCAUCAACUUAUAGUAUCCAAAUUUUGGAAACAAAUGGAAAUCUGACUUUGGACAUUGCAAUUGACUCAGACAUAGCACAUGAAAUUUGCUCAAAAUGGCAGAAACAUCAAUUAGAUGAUUGACAAUGAUCUAAUGCUCAAUCCAAAUUGACACGCAGAAAUGACUAAAAACAAAACAAUUGCAGUUCGGUUUUCCUACCAAUAACAAUGCAAGUGGAACUUUCCAGCAGUGUAACCAGCGUAAUUGCAACAUACAUUCAUGCUCAUUCAGUAUUCAUACUGGUUCAGAUCUACUUAAGCAUGGAUUCAAAAUCAAACAUCAAAACAGAUCAUACUUUGCCAAGGAAACAGUAACAGACACUGCUGAAACAGAAACAAAGACUCUGAACCUGUAAUUCUGAUAGCUUGACUCAAAAUUCAUGCACCUAAGUUGUUCAUCAAUAUGGUCAUUGCUCGUUUUAAUGAUGCAGAAAAGUCUUAUUCCAAUCACAUUUUCACAGAUUCAUCACACGGUAACACCAGAAUUGAAACAUUUUAAAGCAACUGCACAUGACUUUGACAAAACUAUAUAUGAUGCUCAAAUGAAAGACUCAAACAACAACAUUAACCGAUUAAAAAUGAUGAUACACGAUCAAACAAAGCUGGUACAGAACAACAACACAACAGAACCUAAAAUACCGAAAAAAACUGAAUGGAACAGUGGACUAGAACAAGAUGAAAACAAAUUCAAGACAUUGUAGAAGUGUGAUGACAGUAUGGAAUGAAGAAAGAAGACACUUAGCUCACAACAGUAGCGGCUGGAACCUUGCUCUGAAUACCAAAUGAUACGGAUGCUCCAACCAGAAUUAUGGAUUGAGAUGCAGCGGAAGUUGCAAAACGAAUAUGGACAGCGAUGAGGCAGAAACAACAAGCAGCGGAUGGAGUUUCUGUGAAUUCGCAGUAGCGGAUGAUGAUGUUUUGGUGAAGAAUUUGGUGGAUGAAGUGAGCUACGGUGAUGGUGAAGACUAGCUCAGAUGGCCUUCCAUUUGGAAGGAAGCUANNNNNNNNNNNNNNNNNNNNNNNNNNNNNNNNNNNNNNNNNNNNNNNNNNNNNNNNNNNNNNNNNNNNNNNNNNNNNNNNNNNNNNNNNNNNNNNNNNNNNNNNNNNNNNNNNNNNNNNNNNNNNNNNNNNNNNNNNNNNNNNNNNNNNNNNNNNNNNNNNNNNNNNNNNNNNNNNNNNNNNNNNNNNNNNNNNNNNNNNUUUACCCUUCACCAUGCUCUUGGGGUUGUUCUUUAUUUGGUGGCCUUGGGCCCCGUGUAUCAGAAUGUAACUUUGCUUAAAUCACCAUAUACUCAAUUCAUCAAUUCAACGUCAAACCAACCAAUUUAAACAACACUUGAUCAUCCAUUUCAAACAAAAAAAAAUGGUUUUAGUAGCAAUUAAACUACCAAAGCUUCAAUUUCAUCCAUUUCAAACAACCAAAAACUAAAAUACUUUCAACCAAAAACUAGAACACUUUCAACUAGUAGCCACAACAGGAUUUCCCUAUAGUAGGCUACCAAUUUCAGACCACUUCUAGUGUGACAUACAACACUUCAUUAUAAUACCCAAAACAUAUUUCAACAGUGAUUUAAUAAAUUAAAACAACAAUUUAAAUCAAUCACAAAUCAUUAAACAUGAACACAUAAUUCUAAUCACAUUAAAACUUAAGAGAAAUGAUAUUUAGCAUAUAUUUUAUAUAUAAUUUUAUAACUUUGUUGCAUAAUGCACUUUUUAUAUGUUUUGCUUUUAAUUCUUAAGUUAUUAUCUUUAUUUAUGAUAAAUGAGGUUGAUGGCAUAUAUUUCCUUUUAGCUUUAUAUUUUCAAGUUAUUUGACCUUUGUUUACAAUUUUGACUAUAAUAUAUUUUUAGGUAUUAUUUUUGGUUUAUUUUAGUUGCAUUAGAUUCUAUAUUUCAAUUACUUGAAAAUGGAUAUAUUGUUUGUCGGAUUUUAAUUCCUAUGAUAAUUUAAAUGAAUUUUAAAAGUUGAGAUAAAUUUGUUGAAAUUUUAUAAAAAAACCAUGUGGAUUACCUUUUUGUGUGUAUUAACUUAAAGCUUUAAAAUUGGGUUUAUGGACUUUAUUUGUAAAGACCUAAAAAAUUACAUUUUAGAAGUGAUAGUGGUUUAAAAAAAGUGAGACUUGAUUAUAUUAAUAUUAAAAGGUUUUAAUAUAAAUAGUUUUGUUAUGAACGAGUUUCAUUAUUUUAAAGUACACAAUAUCUUUCGAAACAACUUUUCUAUAGUUCUAUGACUUUUCUCUAAAGGUUUUCCCUUUCUCCUGGUUUUAUUGAAGAAUUGAGACCAUAUGAUUUAUCCUUGCGGCGAGCUAUUCAAUUUGAACCGAUCAAUUUUUUCAUUCGUGUAAGUUGAGUUUUAGCUCAUUGUUUUGGUCUUUGCUUUAUGUUGCAUGUGAGCCUUCUUCCAUUUCCUUUUUUAGUCAUCUAUAUGAGUCUCUUUUGAUUAAUGAUCAUAAUGGUAUGUCCUCAUCGCUUUUGUAUUGUUCCUAGGGCAUUAUGUGAGCUUGAAGGGAUUUGUGAUCCCUUAUAAUUAGUUAAUUUGUCUCUCAGGUAAGGGAAGCUAAUUGCAUAUCUUUUAUGUGAUUAAUACCUAGUAAUUAUUGUAUGGUGUUUUUCUUCUAUGAUUAAGCUGUGUGAUUAAGAAUUGAUCAAUGAAAAUUAAAAUUAGGGUUGUAGUCUGAAAGCUAGAUCCACAUGAGGUGUGUAAUGCAUAGCUAAAAAAACGCCAGUCACUAUCUGAAUGACUAAACAAAUACCAGCUAACGAACCGAAGCCCCACCAAUAACUAAGAUUGCUCGGGGUUGGAUAAUCUAUCAAAUGUUGAUUAAGUGUGGAGGAUAUAGGUGCUUUAAGAAGAGAGAAUCGUUGGUUCCUUAUAGUCAUUUUUGGAUCUUUCCUAUCGUGACAACUCUGGUCCCCCCACCUUUUUUUCGUUCUGGGGCACUACUUCAAAAAAGAAUCCAUUCUUGUAAGUAAGCCCCCAUUUUGCCUUGAAAGAAUUUGGUUUCGCUGCGCCCUGAAUCAAUCAAAAAGCUUCUUUUUUUUUAAUUCAUCCCAUUUUCUUUGGGCNAGAGGGAGGCUGUGAGUCACCUGGGCUACGGAUUUGUCGGUUGGUUGAUUCUCGAAAUCACCUCUUGAGAAAAAAAGGCCCUCGGGUCCCGACCCAAAAAUGAAUAGGAAGCGGGNCGGGCGAGGGUCUUUCAUGAAAGGGGGGAAAAGAGGGGUGGGGCCGCCUUGCGCAGCUUUAGUUUACUUGAAUUGUAUGAUGAAAUUGCGAAUGUUGCGUGAUUGGUAUUGCAUAUGAUUUUUUUGAACUAUUGAAUGUGGUGUAAUUUAAAGUUGGCAUUUGUGUUGGCUGUUAGACUAAACUUGGAGGGCUCGUGUUAAGACUUCG
This 5373-nucleotide long non-coding RNA is filed under the name Vigna radiata. Its description in RNAcentral is "long non-coding RNA (VRAD_LNC011512)". The record is from RNAcentral. Lineage: Eukaryota; Viridiplantae; Streptophyta; Magnoliopsida; Fabales; Fabaceae.